This 206-nucleotide ribosomal RNA is filed under the name uncultured bacterium. Its description in RNAcentral is "partial 16S ribosomal RNA". It matches the Rfam family "Bacterial small subunit ribosomal RNA", at positions 568 to 774 of the family's 1533-position model. The record is from RNAcentral.
CGCGUAGGUGGUUCUGUAUGUCUACCGUGAAAGCGUACGGCUCAACCGUAUUUUGUCGGUAGAAACUGCAGGACUUGAGGCUGGGAGGGGCUGGUGGAAUUCCCUGUGUAGCGGUGAAAUGCGUAGAGAUGGGGGAGAACACUCGUGGCGAAGGCGGCCAGCUAGACCAGCUCUGACACUGAGGCGCGACAGCGUGGGAGCAAACA